GACGAACGCUGGCGGCGUGCUUAACACAUGCAAGUCGAACGAAGAGCGACGGAAGCUUGCUUCUAUCAAUCUUAGUGGCGAACGGGUGAGUAACGCGUAAUCAACCUGCCCUUCAGAGGGGGACAACAGUUGGAAACGACUGCUAAUACCGCAUACGAUCUAAUCUCGGCAUCGAGGAUGGAUGAAAGGUGGCCUCUACAUGUAAGCUAUCACUGAAGGAGGGGAUUGCGUCUGAUUAGCUAGUUGGAGGGGUAACGGCCCACCAAGGCGAUGAUCAGUAGCCGGUCUGAGAGGAUGAACGGCAACAUUGGGACUGAGACACGGCCCAGACUCCUACGGGAGGCAGCAGGGGGGAAUCUUCCGCAAUGGACGAAAGUCUGACGGAGCAACGCCGCGUGAGUGAUGACGGCCGUCGGGUUGUAAAGCUCUGUUAAUCGGGACGAAAGGCCUUCUUGCGAAUAGUGAGAAGGAUUGACGGUACCGGAAGAGAAAGCCACGGCUAACUACGUG
Molecule: ribosomal RNA, 510 nt
Filed under: uncultured bacterium
Lineage: Bacteria
Description: partial 16S ribosomal RNA
Rfam family: Bacterial small subunit ribosomal RNA
Source: RNAcentral